GACGAACGCUGGCGGCGUGCCUAAUACAUGCAAGUCGAGCGAACAGAUGAGAAGCUUGCUUCUCUGAUGUUAGCGGCGGACGGGUGAGUAACACGUGGGUAACCUACCUAUAAGACUGGAAUAACUCCGGGAAACCGGGGCUAAUACCGGAUAAUAUUUUGAACCGCAUGGUUCAAUAGUGAAAGACGGUUUCGGCUGUCACUUAUAGAUGGACCCGCGCCGGAUUAGCUAGUUGGUAAGGUAACGGCUUACCAAGGCGACGAUACGUAGCCGACCUGAGAGGGUGAUCGGCCACACUGGAACUGAGACACGGUCCAGACUCCUACGGGAGGCAGCAGUAGGGAAUCUUCCGCAAUGGGCGAAAGUCUGACGGAGCAACGCCGCGUGAGUGAUGAAGGUCUUCGGAUCGUAAAACUCUGUUGUUAGGGAAGAACAAAUUUGUUAGUAACUGAACAAGUCUUGACGGUACCUAACCAGAAAGCCACGGCUAACUACGUGCCAGCCGCCGCGGUAA
RNAcentral lists this ribosomal RNA (514 nucleotides) under uncultured bacterium. RNAcentral describes it as "partial 16S ribosomal RNA". It matches the Rfam family "Bacterial small subunit ribosomal RNA", at positions 28 to 523 of the family's 1533-position model. The record is from RNAcentral.